GAUGAACGCUAGCGAUAGGCUUAACACAUGCAAGUCGAGGGGCAGCGAGGGUAGCAAUACCUGUCGGCGACCGGCGCACGGGUGAGUAACGCGUAUGUAACCUGCCCGCAACAGGGGGAUAACCCGGCGAAAGUCGGACUAAUACCGCAUAAAACAGGGGUCCCGCAUGGGAAUAUUUGUUAAAGAUUUAUCGGUUGCGGACGGGCAUGCGUACCAUUAGGUAGUUGGUGAGGUAACGGCUCACCAAGCCUUCGAUGGUUAGGGGUUCUGAGAGGAAGGUCCCCCACACUGGUACUGAGACACGGACCAGACUCCUACGGGAGGCAGCAGUGAGGAAUAUUGGUCAAUGGGCGAGAGCCUGAACCAGCCAAGUCGCGUGAAGGAUGACUGCCCUAUGGGUUGUAAACUUCUUUUACAAGGGAAUAAAAUGAGAUACGUGUAUUUUAUUGCAUGUACCUUGGGAAUAAGCAUCGGCUAACUCCGUG
This 485-nucleotide ribosomal RNA is filed under the name uncultured bacterium. Its description in RNAcentral is "partial 16S ribosomal RNA". It matches the Rfam family "Bacterial small subunit ribosomal RNA", at positions 28 to 507 of the family's 1533-position model. The record is from RNAcentral.